Molecule: non-coding RNA, 109 nt
Organism: Picea glauca (white spruce)
Lineage: Eukaryota; Viridiplantae; Streptophyta; Pinopsida; Pinales; Pinaceae
Source: Rfam
UACAACAUAGUGUUAAUGCAUUGGAUCUCAUUAGAACUCCAUAGUUAAGCAUACUCAAGCUAGAGUAGUACUGGGACGGGUGCCCUCCGGGGAAUUCCUAGUGUUUUAC